This 131-nucleotide small nucleolar RNA is filed under the name Nannospalax galili (Upper Galilee mountains blind mole rat). Its description in RNAcentral is "Small nucleolar RNA SNORA49 (ENSNGAG00000003225.1)". It matches the Rfam family "Small nucleolar RNA SNORA49". Rfam says of the family: The snoRNA ACA49 has no identified RNA target. NB genomic sequence 1-nt different from published. The record is from Rfam by way of RNAcentral. Lineage: Eukaryota; Metazoa; Chordata; Mammalia; Rodentia; Spalacidae.
CUUCCUCAGGCUUACUCCAGGCUUCUUGCCUGUAGGGUGUCCUGGCAUUGCUUGAGGAUAGAGGAAAAAGCCCAGCUCCCUCCCCAACAAGAUGCUGCUUUCUUGUGGGCCCUACAGAUUGGGCUGACAGA